AUGUCAGCUGCUGGGAAGAUCUGGAUUCUCGUUUCAGGUCACCAUCCAAAAAGCUAAGUUUGCUGUAUAGUAAGGAUCAGGAGAUCUGAUCCUGAUUGCAGAACCUUUCCUGAUUACAAAAUCUUGGGUUGUAUCUCCCACUUCACCCUUCUAGACCAUCCUAGAAGAUCUAUAAGAUUUCAUCUGGGAAAUCACUAGGAGUUCUUGAAAGGGAAAGAAGGAAGAUUGUUGGUUGGAAUAAAAACAGGGUUGAAUGAGUUCCAGAAAGCAGGGUUCUCAACCUUGUGGACAACAAUCUGCAGAAGAAAACUUUAAAAAACCAACUAGAGGCAACAUGCAGAGAAGUAAGAUAAGAGGGGCCUCCUCAGGAAAGAAGACAGCUGGUCUCCAACAGAAAAAUCUGGAACCAUCUCUCCCAGGAAGAUGGGGGGAGUCGCUCUGCAGAGAACUCCCCUUCAGGAUUCGUGAGGAAGACCAGAAAGAACAAACAGAAGACUCCCGGAAACGGAGACGGUGGCAGUACCAGUGAAGCACCUCAGCCCCCUCGGAAGAAAAGGGCCCAGGCUGACCCCACUGUUGAAAGCAAGGAGGCAUUUAAGAAUAGAAUGGAAGUUAAAGUGAAGAUUCCUGAAGAAUUAAAACCAUGGUUUGUUGAGGACUGGUACUUAGUUACCAGGCAGAAGCAGCUGUUCCAACUCCCUGCUAAGAAAAAUGUAGAUGCAAUUCUGGAGGAGUAUGCAAACUGCAAGAAAUCGCAGGAAAAUGCUGAUAAUAAGGAAUAUGUGGUUAAUGAAGUUGUGGCAGGAAUAAAAGACUAUUUCAAUGUGAUGUUGGGCACUCAGCUGCUCUACAAAUUUGAGAGGCCCCAGUAUGCUGAAAUCCUUUUGGCUCAUCCUGUUGUACCAAUGUCCCAGGUUUAUGGAGCACCACACUUACUGAGAUUAUUUGUAAGAAUUGGAGCAAUGUUGGCCUAUACACCCCUUGAUGAGAAAAGCCUUGCAUUAUUGUUGGGCUAUAUGCAUGAUUUCCUAAAAUAUCUGGCAAAAAAAAUUCUGCAUCUGUCUUUACUGCCAGUGAUUACAAAGUGACUUCUGCUGAGUACCACUGCAAAACCCUGUGA
This is a non-coding RNA of Saimiri boliviensis boliviensis (Bolivian squirrel monkey), 1120 nucleotides long. Lineage: Eukaryota; Metazoa; Chordata; Mammalia; Primates; Cebidae. The record is from RefSeq and is a predicted model, not a curated record.